CUGCGUUCCCGCCCGGCGCGCGGGGAUCGAGGUUGGGCGCGGGCUCAAGCUCGGGAACCCUAAGCUUGGGGAUGCUCUUUCCUCUGGGCUGCAGCCGCUUUUCCUCGCUUUUCUGCUGCCUGUCCUUCUCUCCUGACCCCGGGUGUCGUCUCCAGUGCCCGCUGGCAGGUCUGACUCUCCGAUGCCACCUGCCGCUCGGGUCCGCAGCAACCACCGCGCCAUCUCAGACACACCAAGGCCGGUCGGAAUGGAAAGCUGAGCAAGAGCCCCUCAGACGUGCGCACGCCCAGCAAGCUUAAUGUCAGGGCACAGCAUGGCCAGGGAGGACAGUGUUGGCACGGAGUGAACAUGAACUUUCAUACGAAGUCUGGAUAACAUGGAUGAAUUGAAAAAUAAACAAACCAGACAGACAGAUUCACACUGGGCAAAAAGAUGUGAGAAACAAAUGGACAGACAGAAGCAAGUGUUCGAGCUGCACCUACUAGAUGGACAAGCAGCUCCUGCUAAAGGGGCUUGCAGAUGGGCAGACAGAGCCGGAGCCUAACACCCAAGAAAGAGAAGGACGAGAAUGUACACUACCUCUCCAAGAUGCUGGGCU
Molecule: long non-coding RNA, 598 nt
Organism: Erinaceus europaeus (western European hedgehog)
Lineage: Eukaryota; Metazoa; Chordata; Mammalia; Eulipotyphla; Erinaceidae
Exons: 3
Source: RefSeq, a predicted model, not a curated record